Long non-coding RNA from Bos taurus (domestic cattle), 505 nucleotides. NCBI's taxonomy places the organism in Eukaryota, Metazoa, Chordata, Mammalia, Artiodactyla, Bovidae. The record is from Ensembl.
CAACACUCAGAGCUCCAUCACCGGCCUUUGCUUCAGGAGGAAUGGCUGCGGCCUUUCAGAACCUGCCAGCCUCCCUCCCAGCUCCUUACCGCCUGGAAUAUGGGUCACCGGGUCAGAUGUGUAAACAUCCCCCAUCCGCUGGGUGGGGCCCAGGGGAAGCAGAGGAGGAGGAGGAGGCGGGCCACUUUGAGGGAAUUAGGACAGGAAGUAAGGAAGCCUGGAGGCCAGUCCUUCUUUCUUUUCCAUUUCCUGCCAGAAAUGUGCAGAAAGUCCUUUUCUGUGCCCAACUCCCUGGUGGGAGGAAGGCGGGUCGUGGGGAUCGAGGGGCACCAGGGAGAAAUCAUCUCCAGCCCCUCCUCUUCCUGCCAAUUCACAAAUCCUAACCCACAGCCCAGCCCUGGGCUUAGGAAUGCAAUAAGAGCCCGAGUGCCUAGAGCCCAUCCUCUGCCACGAAGAACAACUCCCGAGAGCCACAACCAGAGGAAGCCUGUGCUCAAGAACGAAG